UACAGAGGUCUCAAGCGUUGUUCGGAUUCAUUGGGCGUAAAGGGUGCGUAGGUGGCGCCGUAAGUCGGGUGUGAAAUUUCGGAGCUUAACUCCGAAACUGCAUUCGAUACUGCGGUGCUUGAGGACUGGAGAGGAGACGGGAAUUCAUGGUGUAGCAGUGAAAUGCGUAGAGAUCAUGAGGAAGACCAGUGGCGAAGGCGGGUCUCUGGACAGUUCCUGACACUGAGGCACGAAGGCCAGGGGAGCAAACGGG
This 253-nucleotide ribosomal RNA is filed under the name uncultured bacterium. Its description in RNAcentral is "partial 16S ribosomal RNA". It matches the Rfam family "Bacterial small subunit ribosomal RNA", at positions 524 to 776 of the family's 1533-position model. The record is from RNAcentral.